GACGAGGAGAACGAGGAGGACGAGGAAGAGGGGAACGAGGAGAACGAGGAGGAAGAGGAAGAGGAAGAGGAAGAGGAAGAGGAAGACAAGAAGGUGCUCAAAGAGGACCGAAUCUGACAAAUGAGAUCCGCGCAACACUGGUUGACCACGUUGUCAACCACGGCCUGACGCUGAGGGAGGCUGGACUCCGAGUACAGCCAAAUCUAAGCCGAUAUACAGUGGCAAGUGUGAUGAGAACAUUUCGACUGGAAAAUAGGUAUUGUAAAAAUAUCAUCAUAUCAAAAACAUCUGCACGGUUUCAGUCACUGCUUACAGUACUGUAUUCUAUGCACUAUCGGCACUUCUGUUACCUUUUCCUGUGAAAUUACUGUACUAUUGUAUACUGUUUUUUUUUUCUACAUAGGAUUGAGGGUCAGGGACGACAAGGGGGAAGGCCUCCUAUGUUCACAGAACAGCAAGAGAGGGAGAUAGUAAACAUGGUUUUGGCCAACAAUGCUAUAACACUCAAGCAGCUCCAAGCUAACAUUGUCAAUAACCACGCCAUUUUCAAUGAUAUCCAUCAGGUCUCAACAUCAACACUGGCACGCAUCCUAAAAAAGAAACAUAUUCAAAUGAAGCAAAUUUAUCGAGUGCCUUUCGAGCGCAAUUCCGAAAGGGUAAAACGACUGCGGCAUGAUUAUGCAGAGAGUUUUACGAAUGGAUGGAGAGGAGAUCCAGCAUGAGUUCAUUUACGUAGAUGAGGCUGGGUUCAACCUGACGAGAACACGAAGGAGGGGAAGAAACAUCAUUGGCCACAGGGCUAUAGUCAAUGUCCCAGGGCAACGUGGGGGUAAUAUAACACUCUGUGCAGCCAUUACACAGAAUGGGGUCCUCCACCGCCAUGCCCAUAUGGGCGCUUACAACACAGCACUCAUACUUACAUUCUUGGACCAAUUGCGCAACAUAACAGCAGCAAAUCAAAUAAAUCAUAUGCAAUACAUUGUUGUCUGGGACAAUGUGUCUUUCCAUCGCUCUGCUCUGGUUCAGAACUGGUUUCAGCAACAUCCACAUUUCACCGUCUUAUAUCUUCCACCAUACUCUCCAUUCCUCAACCCUAUAGAAGAGUUUUUCUCGGCAUGGCGGUGGAAGGUAUAUGAUCUCCGUCUCCAGGCUGAGGUACCCCUCAUCCAAGCCAUGGAGGAGGCCUGUGACCAGAUGGAGGUAGCAGCAAUGCAAGGAUGGAUUCGUCAUUCAAGACGUUUCUUUCCAAGGUGUCUUGCUAAUGACAACAUUGCCUGCGAUGUUGAUGAAAUUCUCUGGCCAGAUCCUGCUAGGCGAAGAGACAAUGUCUAGUUGUUGUUUUUUAACUUACAAUACGUAAAGUGACGUUUGAUUACAGUAUUAUGAAUCUCUAUGUCAACAUUUUGGGCGUGUUGAGAAAUAAAUGAGUUUCUUCAGUCUGCAACAUUGGUCUUGUGUAUUGUUUGGUGAAUUUACAUUAUAUUUGUACUUUGUUGAUAGUAGCCUACUCUAAUCAUAGGGAAGUAGAAGUGCUAAAAGUGUUUUAGGUUUAUCACAGCAGAGUGUAACUCGUGCAAACAGAGUAUAGUAAUGUGAAACGUGUGUGUUUCAUAUAGUAACAAAGUGUGGUUUUUAAAAAGAAGUGUAUAGUUUUUACAGGAGUGUUUAAUUUUGCAAAGGAUCUGUAGUGUUUUGCUAAUUGGGUGUGUGGUUGUGCUAAUUGUGUGUAGUGUUUUGAAAACACAGGCCCUGUUUUUGAAAAUUGUGCUCAAGCAAUCGAGAAAA
Gadus macrocephalus (Pacific cod) is the source of this 1785-nucleotide RNA transcript. RefSeq lists it as uncharacterized. Lineage: Eukaryota; Metazoa; Chordata; Actinopteri; Gadiformes; Gadidae. The transcript is spliced from 2 exons. The record is from RefSeq and is a predicted model, not a curated record.